Molecule: long non-coding RNA, 216 nt
Filed under: Olea europaea (common olive)
Lineage: Eukaryota; Viridiplantae; Streptophyta; Magnoliopsida; Lamiales; Oleaceae
Description: long non-coding RNA (OEUR_LNC008389)
Source: RNAcentral
AAAAUACCCCUACGGACUUAAUAAAUCGAGUCAAAAAGCUACGAAGUGAGGCCCAAGAUUCAACAAGUACAAUAACUUCAUUUUUUUUAACACAACAAAAAUGGGGCUUAGAUCCCUAGCAUACGGUCAUUACCUAGCUUAUGCUCGGCAAAAGACACUCCACACAAAUAUUUUCAACAUGCACGAAAUCACACACUUCUAGAUAAUCUCCUUCAC